UUCGGGAGGACGCUCACCACUUUGUGGUUCAUGACUGGGGUGAAGUCGUAACAAGGUAGCCCUAGGGGAACCUGGGGCUGGAUCACCUCCUUAUACGAUGAU
Molecule: ribosomal RNA, 102 nt
Filed under: Vibrio tubiashii
Lineage: Bacteria; Pseudomonadati; Pseudomonadota; Gammaproteobacteria; Vibrionales; Vibrionaceae
Description: partial 16S ribosomal RNA
Rfam family: Bacterial small subunit ribosomal RNA
Source: RNAcentral